UGCAAUGGGGAGAUAUUGCACUUAAGACAGAUGUAGAGAACGGGACAGAAUACAUCAUAUACAACCAGGAAAGACAGACAAAAACACGCACUGGAGCAAAUCCACGAGACAUCAGAAAAUUCCAACCUAGGGCCUAUGGUAGCGUUGUGACGGAUGGAAUAGAUAACAACAAAGAUCCUGUAUUUUUAUAUAAAAUGUAUGCCAGUAAGAGACCUUCAGCCAUGAAUGAACCAGACAAGCCAUUCUUCCUAACAAUCAACCGUGAUGCAAAUCUUGACAAUCCUGUCAGCAGGUGGGUCUGACAAAUGACAGACGUCUGACUAACUACAGUGUGCGAAAGCGACUCGUUCAGAAGCUAAAUGACUCUGGUGUCCCACCAAAUCAGAUAGUUCAAAUAACAGGCCACAGGAAUGUCAACAGUCUGAAUAACUACAGCCGACUUAGUUCUGAACAAAGCAAGGAUAUCUCACAUGUCUUGUCAACGGGGAAUGAAAAUAGAUCUGCCAUGUGCACCGCAAGCAGGCCUCGAGAAAAUACCCCUGUCCCCGACAAAUCAUCCUCAACCACAGCACAAAAUAACCAUCUGUUUCCAAUAAUGGGUGGGCUUUUUUCUGGAGAAAAUACCACGUUUAAUUCAACGGUAAAUUUCCACUUUCACGGAAGUCAGCAGACAAUGCAGGCCAGUAACUCAAACUAUGUGAUCGGAGAAACAGCACAAAUAGCAAACAUGGCCGCGUCCGGGUCAGGGUACGGGAGAAAGUUCAAAAGAAUAAGGGCAAUAUCUGACAGUGACAGUGAGUAAGAAUGACUUACUUUUACAUGACUGGAAGUUUGAUAUCAUCAGGACUGAGGAGUAAACAAAAUCCGUGUGUUUGUCAGGACUUUCUCCCACUACUAGGCCUGCAGAACUGUUUCAUGUAGAUCUACACCAUUUUGGACUGAGCGCUCAUCGCGUAGUGAUCUGUUGUUUUGACGGGACUUUUUUGAAAUACUUUUUUUUUGACAAUGUUAUGGCAACAUUUGUAAAACAUAUAAACUAUGAUACAUAUUGAAGUAAAAGAAUUGAUUAAAAUAUUUUGUAAACUAGUUUUAUAUUUUUUUGGGAAUUUUUGUACUUUGGACUAUAUUUUGUCGCGUAGGAUUGUCUAGACAUGUAAGCGGUAAACGUAUGCAAACUUUCG
This is a long non-coding RNA of Pecten maximus, 1181 nucleotides long. RefSeq lists it as uncharacterized. The transcript has 3 exons. The record is from RefSeq and is a predicted model, not a curated record. NCBI's taxonomy places the organism in Eukaryota, Metazoa, Mollusca, Bivalvia, Pectinida, Pectinidae.